UACGGAGGAUCCGAGCGUUAUCCGGAUUUAUUGGGUUUAAAGGGCGCGCAGGCGGGGGAUUAAGUCGGCGGUGAAAUUUUGCAGCUCAACUGUAAAAGUGCCUUCGAAACUGGUUUCCUUGAGUAUAGAUGAAGUAGGCGGAAUUUGUGGUGUAGCGGUGAAAUGCAUAGAUAUCACGAGGAACUCCGAUUGCGCAGGCAGCUUACUAAACUACUACUGACGCUCAGGCACGAAGGCGUGGGGAUCAAACAGGAUUAGAUACCCUGGUAGU
RNAcentral lists this ribosomal RNA (271 nucleotides) under uncultured prokaryote. RNAcentral's name for it is "partial 16S ribosomal RNA". It matches the Rfam family "Bacterial small subunit ribosomal RNA", at positions 524 to 794 of the family's 1533-position model. The record is from RNAcentral.